AAUCCAAUAGGCCUAUGUCACGGAACAAUUGAAGACCGGAAGAAGCUCGCGGAGUAGGGUAACUGCUCUUCCGCUUAGCUUAGCUAAGCUGUUUACCAUGGCGGAGGCAGAUCAAUACCUUUGGACCAAGUCUCUCCAACCUACCUAAAUUGUCCUACGACGACGUCCUAAGGAUAGUAAAUCAGCACUUACGUGUCGAAACAUCUAAACUACGCAAAGGAUAUAAGUUAUUCUGGGAGAAGUACAUUUUUAAUUACAUAGACACAUGACAACCACUUCACAGGGGGGAAAAGCGUGCCAACACCUCUGUCGUGCACCAGUGUUCUGCAGACGUGGACCAAGGACACAGGUUUAUGUGUAUACCUCAGGCCUAGCCAAACAUCCUGUAUAGUCUACUCAAUAAUAGUAUUCGAAGUUCUUGUAUAUAUACAGACGCGACUAACACUGACUUAAGUGUUGCUACACUGACAUUAUGAUUUAUGUGCUGACAUAUUUUUUCUUUUUGCUCCAGGGGAUUCGCUCCAGGGGAUUCGCCCGGAACCCAUUGACCAACUUGUGGUCAGGAAACCCAAGGUUUGGGUUAGGUGUUUUAUUUUAGCACAUACAUGGACACAUACCUCCUGAAUGCCAAGUAAAUAUGGCCGAGGGAUACACACACCCCAUUCCAUUUAUUUAUUUCUGUUAAAUGUAUAUAUGUAAAUAUUUUAAUCAAAGAAUUGGAA
Gadus morhua (Atlantic cod) is the source of this 722-nucleotide long non-coding RNA. RefSeq lists it as uncharacterized. The transcript has 2 exons. The record is from RefSeq and is a predicted model, not a curated record. NCBI's taxonomy places the organism in Eukaryota, Metazoa, Chordata, Actinopteri, Gadiformes, Gadidae.